This 365-nucleotide ribosomal RNA is filed under the name uncultured eukaryote. RNAcentral describes it as "partial 18S ribosomal RNA". It matches the Rfam family "Eukaryotic small subunit ribosomal RNA", at positions 592 to 976 of the family's 1831-position model. The record is from RNAcentral.
CAAUAGCGUAUAUUUAAGUUGUUGCAGUUAAAAAGCUCGUAGUCGGAUUUUGGCUGAGAACGAUCGGUCCGCCGUUAGGUGUGCACUGAUUGGUCUCAGCUUCCUGGUGAGGAGGUGUGCUUCACGGCCACUUAGUCACCGUGGUUACUUUGAAAAAAUUAGAGUGUUCAAAGCGGGCUUACGCUUGAAUAUAUUAGCAUGGAAUAACACCAUAGGACUCCUGUCCUAUUUCGUUGGUCUCGGGACGGGAGUAAUGAUUAAGAGGAACAGUUGGGGGCAUUCGUAUUUCAUUGUCAGAGGUGAAAUUCUUGGAUUUAUGAAAGACGAACUUCUGCGAAAGCACUUGCCAAGGAUGUUUUCAUUGA